This 491-nucleotide ribosomal RNA is filed under the name uncultured bacterium. RNAcentral describes it as "bacterial SSU rRNA". It matches the Rfam family "Bacterial small subunit ribosomal RNA", at positions 30 to 507 of the family's 1533-position model. The record is from RNAcentral.
AUUGAACGCUGGCGGCAUGCUUUUACACAUGCAAGUCGGACGGCAGCACAGAGAAGCUUGCUUCUUGGGUGGCGAGUGGCGAACGGGUGAGUAAUAUAUCGGAACGUACCGAGUAAUGGGGGAUAACUAAUCGAAAGAUUAGCUAAUACCGCAUAUUCUCUGAGGAGGAAAGCAGGGGACCUUCGGGCCUUGCGUUAUUCGAGCGGCCGAUAUCUGAUUAGCUAGUUGGUGGGGUAAAGGCCUACCAAGGCGACGAUCAGUAGCGGGUCUGAGAGGAUGAUCCGCCACACUGGGACUGAGACACGGCCCAGACUCCUACGGGAGGCAGCAGUGGGGAAUUUUGGACAAUGGGCGCAAGCCUGACCCAGCCAUGCCGCGUGUCUGAAGAAGGCCUUCGGGUUGUAAAGGACUUUUGUCAGGGAAGAAAAGGCUGUUGCUAAUAUCGACAGCUGAUGACGGUACCUGAAGAAUAAGCACCGGCUAACUACGUG